GGCGAACGGGUGAGUAACACGUGAGUAACCUGCCCUUGGCUCUGGGAUAAGCGCUGGAAACGGCGUCUAAUACUGGAUAGGACUUCCUGCCGCAUGGUGGGGGGUGGAAAGAUUUAUCGGCCAUGGAUGGGCUCGCGGCCUAUCAGCUUGUUGGUGAGGUAGUGGCUCACCAAGGCGACGACGGGUAGCCGGCCUGAGAGGGUGACCGGCCACACUGGGACUGAGACACGGCCCAGACUCCUACGGGAGGCAGCAGUGGGGAAUAUUGCACAAUGGGCGAAAGCCUGAUGCAGCAACGCCGCGUGGGGGAUGACGGCCUUCGGGUUGUAAACCUCUUUUGGCAGGGAAGAAGCCGCAAGGUGACGGUACCUGCAGAAAAAGGACCGGCUAACUACGUGCCAGCCGCCGCGG
RNAcentral lists this ribosomal RNA (411 nucleotides) under uncultured bacterium. RNAcentral describes it as "bacterial SSU rRNA". It matches the Rfam family "Bacterial small subunit ribosomal RNA", at positions 97 to 520 of the family's 1533-position model. The record is from RNAcentral.